GGUUUUGAACCACAAAAUCGAAGUACUCCCAAACACAAGCUGGACGAUGAAAGAGAUGCACCAGGACAAUCAACAAUUCAGCCUGGACAGAUAGUAAUAUCUGAUGCUGAGGAUCUGGAUCCACCGGAAGCAAAUCCA
Coregonus clupeaformis (lake whitefish) is the source of this 138-nucleotide long non-coding RNA. RefSeq lists it as uncharacterized. The transcript is spliced from 3 exons. Lineage: Eukaryota; Metazoa; Chordata; Actinopteri; Salmoniformes; Salmonidae. The record is from RefSeq and is a predicted model, not a curated record.